UCUUUAGAGUUUGAUCUGAGAGUUGGAUCAAUGCUCAGGAUGACUGCUGACUGUCUGCUUAAUACAUGCAUGUCGAGCGAGUUCUUUUGAUCCGAGCGGCAAAUGGGUGAGUAACACGUGCUUAAUCUACCCCUUAGAGUGGAAUAGCCAAUGGAAUCAUAGGCUAAUGCCGGAUACGCAUGGAAUCGCAUGAUUCCGUCAUGAAAGGAGCAUUUAAAUCUCCGCUAGAGGAUGAGCGUGCGGAACAUUAGUUAGUUGGUAGGGUAAUGGCCUACCAAGACUAUGAUGUUUAGCCGGGUCGAGAGACUGAACGGCCACAUUGGGAGUGAGAUACGGCCCCAAACUCCUACGGGAGGCAGCAGUAGAGAAUAUUCCACAAUGAGCGAAAGCUAGACGGAGCGACACAGCGUGCACGAUGAAGGUCUUCGGAUUGUAAAGUGCUGUUAUAGGGAAAGAACACCUGGUUGAGGAAAUGCUUCCAGUCUGACGGUACCCUGUCAGAAAGCGAUGGCUAACUAUGCCCAGCAGCCGCGGUAAUACAUAGGUCGCAAGCGUUAUCCGGAAUUAUUGGGCGUAAAUCGUUUUUAGGCUGUUUAUUAAGUCUGGAGUCAAAUCCCAGGGCUCAACCCUGCCUCGCUUUGGAUACUGGUAAACUAGAGUUAGAUAGAGGUAAGCGGAAUUCCAUGUGAAGCGGUGAAAUGCGUAGAUAUAUGGAAGAACACCAAAGGCGAAGGCAGCUUACUGGGUCUAUCCUGACGGCGAGGGAGGAAAGCGAGGGGACCAAACAGGAUUAGAUACCCUGGUAGUCCACGCCGUAAACGAUGAUCAUUAUACGGUGGAGAGUCACUGACGCAGCUAACGCAUAAGUUUCCACGGGGGGAAAACCCCCAAAAU
This 894-nucleotide ribosomal RNA is filed under the name Mycoplasmopsis arginini. RNAcentral's name for it is "bacterial SSU rRNA". It matches the Rfam family "Bacterial small subunit ribosomal RNA". Lineage: Bacteria; Bacillati; Mycoplasmatota; Mycoplasmoidales; Metamycoplasmataceae. The record is from RNAcentral.